GACGAACCGUCCAAACGUUGUUCGGAAUCACUGGGCUUAAAGGGCGCGUAGGCGGGCCAGAGGGUCCGGGGGGAAAUCUUUCGGCUUAACCGGAAAAGUGCCUUGGAUACCGCUGGUCUAGAGGGAGGUAGGGGCAUGUGGAACUUCUGGUGGAGCGGUGAAAUGCGUUGAUAUCAGAAGGAACGCCGGUGGCGAAAGCGACGUGCUGGAUCUCUUCUGACGCUGAGGCGCGAAAGCCAGGGGAGCAAACGGG
RNAcentral lists this ribosomal RNA (253 nucleotides) under uncultured bacterium. RNAcentral describes it as "partial 16S ribosomal RNA". It matches the Rfam family "Bacterial small subunit ribosomal RNA", at positions 524 to 776 of the family's 1533-position model. The record is from RNAcentral.